GGAGGCAGCAGUGGGAAUUUUGCGCAAUGGACGAAAGUCUGACGCAGCAACGCCGCGUGAGGAUGACGGCCUUCGGGUUGUAAACCUCUGUGAGUGGGAAGAAAAGCUUUGUGGUUAUAUCCACAGAGUCUGACGGUACCACUUCGAAGGAAGCUCCGUGCUAANCUUAACGUGCCAGCAGCCGCGGUAAUACGUAGGGGUGCUAGCGUUGUUCGGAAUCACUGGGCGUAAAGGGAGUGUAGGCGGACCGGUAAGUUAGGAGUUAAAUGUACGGGCUCAACCCGUGAUCUGCUUUUAAUACUGUCGGUCUUGAGUAUGGGAGAGGGAGAUGGAAUUCCAGGUGUAGCGGUGGAAUGCGUAGAUAUCUGGAAGAACACCAGUUGCGAAGGCGGUCUCCUGGACCAAUACUGACGCUGAUGCUCGAAAGCUGGGGGAGCGAACAGGAUUAGAUACCCUGGUAGUCCCAGCCGUAAACGAUGGACACUGGUUGCCGGAGGAGUCAAUCCCUUCGGUGACGAAGCUAACGCAUUAAGUGUCCCGCCUGGGGAGUACGCUCGCAAGGGUGAAACUCAAAGGAAUUGACGGGGGCCCGCACAAGCGGUGGAGCAUGUGCUUUAAUUCGAUGCAACGCGAAGAACCUUACCUGGGUUUGACAUGGGGGUGAAAGUUUCCAGAGAUGGAAGCCUUUCCUUCGGGAACACCCCACACAGGUGCUGCAUGGUUGUCGUCAGCUCGUGUCGUGAGAUGUUGGGUUAAGUCCCGCAACGAGCGCAACCCCUGCCCUUAGUUGCCAUCAGGUAAAGCUGGGAACUCUAAGGGGACAGCUUGGUAUAACCAGGAGGAAGGUGGGGAUGACGUCAAAUCAUCAUGGCUCUUACGCCCAGGGCUAGACACGUGCUACAAUGGCAGGUACAGUGGGAUGCCAGCCUGCGAAGGUGAGCUAAUCCCUUAAAACCUGUCUCAGUCCGGAUUGGAGUCUGCAACUCGACUCCAUGAAGUUGGAAUCGCUAGUAAUCGCGGAUCAGCAUGCCGCGGUGAAUACGUUCCCGGGCCUUGUACACACCGCCCGUCAAGCCAUGUAAGGCGGUAGUACCCGAAGUCGCGUACCCAACCGUAAGGAGGGAA
Molecule: ribosomal RNA, 1125 nt
Filed under: uncultured organism
Description: bacterial SSU rRNA
Rfam family: Bacterial small subunit ribosomal RNA
Source: RNAcentral